RNAcentral lists this ribosomal RNA (205 nucleotides) under uncultured bacterium. RNAcentral describes it as "partial 16S ribosomal RNA". It matches the Rfam family "Bacterial small subunit ribosomal RNA", at positions 1296 to 1500 of the family's 1533-position model. The record is from RNAcentral.
GAUCGCAGGCUGCAACCCGCCUGCGUGAAGUUGGAAUCGCUAGUAAUCGCGGAUCAGCAUGCCGCGGUGAAUACGUUCCCGGGCCUUGUACACACCGCCCGUCACACCAUGAGAGUCGGGAACACCCGAAGUCCGUAGUCUAACCGCAAGGGGGACGCGGCCGAAGGUGGGUUCGAUAAUUGGGGUGAAGUCGUAACAAGGUAUC